This 465-nucleotide ribosomal RNA is filed under the name uncultured bacterium. RNAcentral's name for it is "partial 16S ribosomal RNA". It matches the Rfam family "Bacterial small subunit ribosomal RNA", at positions 339 to 795 of the family's 1533-position model. The record is from RNAcentral.
CUACGGGUUGCUGCAGUGGGGAAUAUUGGACAAUGGGGGAAACCCUGAUCCAGCAAUGCCGCGUGUGUGAAGAAGGCCUGCGGGUUGUAAAGCACUUUCGGUUGGGAGGACUGCUUCUAGCACUAAUAUUGUUGGAAGUUGACGUUACCUUCAGAAGAAGCACCGGCUAACUCCGUGCCAGCAGCCGCGGUAAUACGGAGGGUGCAAGCGUUAAUCGGAAUUACUGGGCGUAAAGCGCGCGUAGGCGGCUAGAUCAGUCGGGGGUGAAAGCCCCGGGCUUGGCCUGGGAACUGCAUCCGAUACUGGCUAGCUUGGGGAACGGAGAGGGGAGUGGAAUUCCACAUGGUGCGGUGAAAUGCGGAGAGAUGUGGAGGAACACCAAUGGCGAAGGCAGCUCUCUGGGCCGAUACUGACGCUGAGGGGCGAAAGCGUGGGGAGCAAACAGGAUUAGAUACCCCGGUAGUC